Molecule: non-coding RNA, 99 nt
Organism: Acanthosepion pharaonis
Lineage: Eukaryota; Metazoa; Mollusca; Cephalopoda; Sepiida; Sepiidae
Source: the annotation of a GenBank genome assembly
CGUUAAAACACCGGUUCCCGUAUGAUGGUCAAAGUUAAGCAACGUCGAGCCUGGUCAGUACCUUGAUGACUGACCGCUUGGGAAUACCAGGUGCUGUAA